Arvicola amphibius (Eurasian water vole) is the source of this 775-nucleotide long non-coding RNA. RefSeq lists it as uncharacterized. The record is from RefSeq and is a predicted model, not a curated record. NCBI's taxonomy places the organism in Eukaryota, Metazoa, Chordata, Mammalia, Rodentia, Cricetidae. The transcript has 2 exons.
CUUUGUUCUUCUCAGAGGCCUGCUGACCUUUGAACUCGGGAGUGGUGGGGGGUGGGUGACAAGCAACUUGGGCUGGUGAAGCACUCAGAGAACUACCAGUGCCUACUGUCCAGCUUCAGUAGGUCGGGGACAGGAAGAUCCUUGGGGCUUACUCGCUUUCAGUGCAGCCAAGAAAAAUGGAAACCCGGGUUCAGGGAGUGACCCUCCCUCAACAGAAGUGGGCCUCCUGUUCAGCACCCAGCAUGCUCUCUGACUGAUGGAUACCAAGGUCCCAAAAGCCUCUUCACAGCCUUGGACUGACACAUACAAACACACACUGUGUUCAUCAGCUUUCGGUUGCCUGUACAAACACCCCAAAGAAAUCAACCUAACAAGAAAAAAAAUGUUUAUUUUGGUUAAGGGUCUCAGAGGUGCCAAGGCCAGUUAGCCUGCUACUUUUGGACCUGUGGCAAGGCAUGACAUCAUAGCAAGAGCGUAUCCAAAGGAAGAUGCUUACCGUGUAUUGGCAGGAAAGCAAAGAAGGAGAGCAAAAGGGACCGGCUACCUCUGUCGCUUUCAAGAACUGUGGUUCCUCCAGCGACUCACCCACUACGUCCCAUCCUAAAGAUUCUACCCUCUCCCCCAGGAGUGCCAUGGGCUAAUGGUCAGAUCUUACCAGAGGGUCAUCUGAGGAACACCUCAAAUCCAAAGUGUAACAAUAGAGUUGUGUAAUUGUCAACCUAUUUUUAACUUAAAAUCUUUGGGAUAUAUAUUCAUAAAUAAAAACUUAAUUUGA